Molecule: ribosomal RNA, 404 nt
Filed under: uncultured bacterium
Lineage: Bacteria
Description: bacterial SSU rRNA
Rfam family: Bacterial small subunit ribosomal RNA
Source: RNAcentral
AACGAACGCAGGCGGCGUGCCUAACACAUGCAAGUCGUGCGAGAAAGUUCCUUCGGGAGCGAGUAAAGCGGCGCACGGGUGAGUAACACGUAGGUAACCUGCCCCCCAGUCUGGAACAACUAGAGGAAACUCUAGCUAAUGCCGGAUGAGACCACGAUCCCUUCGGGGGUUGCGGCCAAAGAUGGCCUCUACUUGUAAGCUAUCGCUGAGGGAUGGGCCUGCGGGCCAUUAGCUUGUUGGUGAGGUAACGGCUCACCAAGGCUGUGAUGGCUAGCUGGUCUGAGAGGAUGACCAGCCACACUGGGACUGAGACACGGCCCAGACUCCUACGGGAGGCAGCAGUGGGGAAUAUUGCGCAAUGGGCGAAAGCCUGACGCAGCGACGCCGCGUGGGUGAUGAAGGCC